CCUACGGGGGGCAGCAGUGGGGAAUAUUGGACAAUGGGGGGAACCCUGAUCCAGCCAUGCCGCGUGUGUGAAGAGGGCCCUCGGGUUGUAAAGCACUUUCAGUGAGGAAGAACGCCUGGUGGUUAAUACCCAUCAGGAAAGACAUCACUCACAGAAGAAGCACCGGCUAACUCCGUGCCAGCAGCCGCGGUAAUACGGAGGGUGCGAGCGUUAAUCGGAAUUACUGGGCGUAAAGCGCGCGUAGGUGGCUUGAUAAGCCGGUUGUGAAAGCCCCGGGCUCAACCUGGGAACGGCAUCCGGAACUGUCAAGCUAGAGUGCAGGAGAGGAAGGUAGAAUUCCCGGUGUAGCGGUGAAAUGCGUAGAGAUCGGGAGGAAUACCAGUGGCGAAGGCGGCCUUCUGGACUGACACUGACACUGAGGUGCGAAAGCGUGGGUAGCAAACAGGAUUAGAUACCCUUGUAGUC
This 465-nucleotide ribosomal RNA is filed under the name Vreelandella stevensii. RNAcentral describes it as "partial 16S ribosomal RNA". It matches the Rfam family "Bacterial small subunit ribosomal RNA", at positions 338 to 795 of the family's 1533-position model. The record is from RNAcentral. Lineage: Bacteria; Pseudomonadati; Pseudomonadota; Gammaproteobacteria; Oceanospirillales; Halomonadaceae.